AAGAAUUUAAAGAUGUCAUCACCAAAAAAGGCAAUACAGCAGCAAUAAAUAAAGCAAGAGAGAAAGGUUGGCAGGAAAUUGCUGAUCGUCUCAAUGCCAGCAACUUAAGUGAAGGAAAAAGAACCUGGCAGCAGGUGAAAAUAAAAUAUAAAAAUAUAGUUCAGAAUGCGACCAAAAAGAAGACUGAGGUUGCUGGCACUGGGGGAGGGCCACCACCAGCCAGCUUCACUCCUGCAGAGGAGCUGGCUUUGGAAAUUAAUAAAGGGAGGCCCGUCCUUGAGGGAAUAGAGGGGGGCACAUCAUCUAAAAUUAUAUCACGUAGUAUAAGGAGUGAGUAUAUAAAAGAUUCUGUAUGCUUUAUGGAUCCACCAGACAUCAUGUUGCCUGUG
Molecule: long non-coding RNA, 389 nt
Organism: Carassius carassius (crucian carp)
Lineage: Eukaryota; Metazoa; Chordata; Actinopteri; Cypriniformes; Cyprinidae
Exons: 4
Source: RefSeq, a predicted model, not a curated record